GUACAUUUGUAUCUACGGCAGGAAGUGCCGAAAGUUACGCCUUUGGAGAUACGAUGUGUGAGACCUGUAGGGAAUGCGUUGGAGCUCAAACUCUGUAAAAUCCC
Small RNA from Helicobacter felis ATCC 49179, 104 nucleotides. It matches the Rfam family "Heliobacter pylori small RNA HPnc0580". The record is from Rfam. NCBI's taxonomy places the organism in Bacteria, Pseudomonadati, Campylobacterota, Epsilonproteobacteria, Campylobacterales, Helicobacteraceae.